Molecule: ribosomal RNA, 433 nt
Filed under: Pseudomonas aeruginosa
Lineage: Bacteria; Pseudomonadati; Pseudomonadota; Gammaproteobacteria; Pseudomonadales; Pseudomonadaceae
Description: bacterial LSU rRNA
Rfam family: Bacterial large subunit ribosomal RNA
Source: RNAcentral
GCUAGACGGAAAGACCCCGUGAACCUUUACUGUAGCUUUGCACUGGACUUUGAGCCUGCUUGUGUAGGAUAGGUGGGAGGCUUUGAAGCGUGGACGCCAGUUCGCGUGGAGCCAUCCUUGAAAUACCACCCUGGCAUGCUUGAGGUUCUAACUCUGGUCCGUGAUCCGGAUCGAGGACAGUGUAUGGUGGGCAGUUUGACUGGGGCGGUCUCCUCCUAAAGAGUAACGGAGGAGUACGAAGGUGCGCUCAGACCGGUCGGAAAUCGGUCGUAGAGUAUAAAGGCAAAAGCGCGCUUGACUGCGAGACAGACACGUCGAGCAGGUACGAAAGUAGGUCUUAGUGAUCCGGUGGUUCUGUAUGGAAGGGCCAUCGCUCAACGGAUAAAAGGUACUCCGGGGAUAACAGGCUGAUACCGCCCAAGAGUUCAUAUCG